This 1080-nucleotide ribosomal RNA is filed under the name Nocardia abscessus. RNAcentral describes it as "bacterial SSU rRNA". It matches the Rfam family "Bacterial small subunit ribosomal RNA", at positions 320 to 1411 of the family's 1533-position model. The record is from RNAcentral. Lineage: Bacteria; Bacillati; Actinomycetota; Actinomycetes; Mycobacteriales; Nocardiaceae.
UGAGACACGGCCCAGACUCCUACGGGAGGCAGCAGUGGGGAAUAUUGCACAAUGGGCGAAAGCCUGAUGCAGCGACGCCGCGUGAGGGAUGACGGCCUUCGGGUUGUAAACCUCUUUCGACAGGGACGAAGCGUAAGUGACGGUACCUGUAGAAGAAGCACCGGCCAACUACGUGCCAGCAGCCGCGGUAAUACGUAGGGUGCGAGCGUUGUCCGGAAUUACUGGGCGUAAAGAGCUUGUAGGCGGUUUGUCGCGUCGUCCGUGAAAACUUGGGGCUCAACCCCAAGCUUGCGGGCGAUACGGGCAGACUUGAGUACUGCAGGGGAGACUGGAAUUCCUGGUGUAGCGGUGAAAUGCGCAGAUAUCAGGAGGAACACCGGUGGCGAAGGCGGGUCUCUGGGCAGUAACUGACGCUGAGAAGCGAAAGCGUGGGUAGCGAACAGGAUUAGAUACCCUGGUAGUCCACGCCGUAAACGGUGGGUACUAGGUGUGGGUUUCCUUCCACGGGAUCCGUGCCGUAGCUAACGCAUUAAGUACCCCGCCUGGGGAGUACGGCCGCAAGGCUAAAACUCAAAGGAAUUGACGGGGGCCCGCACAAGCGGCGGAGCAUGUGGAUUAAUUCGAUGCAACGCGAAGAACCUUACCUGGGUUUGACAUACACCGGAAACCUGCAGAGAUGUAGGCCCCCUUGUGGUCGGUGUACAGGUGGUGCAUGGCUGUCGUCAGCUCGUGUCGUGAGAUGUUGGGUUAAGUCCCGCAACGAGCGCAACCCUUAUCUUAUGUUGCCAGCGCGUAAUGGCGGGGACUCGUGAGAGACUGCCGGGGUCAACUCGGAGGAAGGUGGGGACGACGUCAAGUCAUCAUGCCCCUUAUGUCCAGGGCUUCACACAUGCUACAAUGGCCGGUACAGAGGGCUGCGAUACCGUGAGGUGGAGCGAAUCCCUUAAAGCCGGUCUCAGUUCGGAUCGGGGUCUGCAACUCGACCCCGUGAAGUUGGAGUCGCUAGUAAUCGCAGAUCAGCAACGCUGCGGUGAAUACGUUCCCGGGCCUUGUACACACCGCCCGUCACGUCAUGAAAGU